This 2155-nucleotide ribosomal RNA is filed under the name human gut metagenome. Its description in RNAcentral is "bacterial LSU rRNA". It matches the Rfam family "Bacterial large subunit ribosomal RNA", at positions 788 to 2925 of the family's 2925-position model. The record is from RNAcentral.
GUUGAAAAAUUAGCGGAUGACUUGUGGCUGGGGGUGAAAGGCCAAUCAAACCGGGAGAUAGCUGGUUCUCCCCGAAAUCUAUUUAGGUAGAGCCUUGAGCGGACACCUUCGGGGGUAGAGCACUGUUUCGGCUAGGGGUCCAUCCCGGAUUACCAACCCGAUGCAAACUACGAAUACCGAAGAGUGAUACUCAGGAGACACACGGCGGGUGCUAACGUCCGUCGUGGAGAGGGAAACAACCCAGACCGCCAGCUAAGGUCCCAAAGUCUAUAUUAAGUGGGAAACGAAGUGGGAAGGCUUAGACAGCUAGGAUGUUGGCUUAGAAGCAGCCAUCAUUUAAAGAAAGCGUAAUAGCUCACUAGUCGAGUCGGCCUGCGCGGAAGAUGUAACGGGGCUCAAAUAUAGCACCGAAGCUGCGGCAUCAGUAGCAAUACUGUUGGGUAGGGGAGCGUUCUGUAAGCGGAUGAAGAUGGCUCGAGAGGGCUGUUGGACGUAUCAGAAGUGCGAAUGCUGACAUAAGUAACGAUAAAACGGGUGAAAAACCCGUUCGCCGGAAGACCAAGGGUUCCUGUCCAACGUUAAUCGGGGCAGGGUGAGUCGGCCCCUAAGGCGAGGCUGAAAAGCGUAGUCGAUGGGAAACGGGUUAAUAUUCCCGUACUUGGAUAAACUGCGAUGUGGGGACGGAGCAGGUUAGGUUAUCGCACUGUUGGAUAUGUGCGUUUAAGUUUGUAGGUGUGAAGUUUAGGCAAAUCCGGACUUCUUUAACACUGAGAGAUGAUGACGAGGCUCUACGGAGCUGAAGUAACCGAUACCACACUUCCAGGAAAAGCCACUAAGCUUCAGGUUUAUCUAAACCGUACUGAAAACCGACACAGGUGGUCAGGUAGAGAAUACUCAGGCGCUUGAGAGAACUCGGGUGAAGGAACUAGGCAAAAUAGCACCGUAACUUCGGGAGAAGGUGCGCCGGCGUAGAUUGUAGUCCCUUGCGGAUGAAGGUUGAACCGGUCGAAGAUACCAGCUGGCUGCAACUGUUUAUUAAAAACACAGCACUCUGCAAACACGAAAGUGGACGUAUAGGGUGUGAUGCCUGCCCGGUGCUGGAAGGUUAAUUGAUGGUGUAAUCGAAAGAGAAGCUCCUGAUCGAAGCCCCAGUAAACGGCGGCCGUAACUAUAACGGUCCUAAGGUAGCGAAAUUCCUUGUCGGGUAAGUUCCGACCUGCACGAAUGGCAUAAUGAUGGCCAGGCUGUCUCCACCCGAGACUCAGUGAAAUUGAAAUCGCCGUGAAGAUGCGGUGUACCCGCGGCUAGACGGAAAGACCCCGUGAACCUUUACUAUAGCUUGACACUGAACAUUGAAUUUUGAUGUGUAGGAUAGGUGGGAGACUUAGAAGUAGUCACGCCAGUGAUUAUGGAGUCGUCCUUGAAAUACCACCCUUUAACGUUUGAUGUUCUAACGAAGAUUACGAAACGUGGUCUCGGACAGUGUCUGGUGGGUAGUUUGACUGGGGCGGUCUCCUCCCAAAGAGUAACGGAGGAGCACGAAGGUUUGCUAAUGACGGUCGGACAUCGUCAGGUUAGUGCAAUGGUAUAAGCAAGCUUAACUGCGAGACAGACAAGUCGAGCAGGUACGAAAGUAGGUCAUAGUGAUCCGGUGGUUCUGAAUGGAAGGGCCAUCGCUCAACGGAUAAAAGGUACUCCGGGGAUAACAGGCUGAUACCGCCCAAGAGUUCAUAUCGACGGCGGUGUUUGGCACCUCGAUGUCGGCUCAUCACAUCCUGGGGCUGAAGUAGGUCCCAAGGGUAUGGCUGUUCGCCAUUUAAAGUGGUACGCGAGCUGGGUUUAGAACGUCGUGAGACAGUUCGGUCCCUAUCUGCCGUGGGCGUUGGAGAAUUGAAAGGGGCUGCUCCUAGUACGAGAGGACCGGAGUGGACGCACCACUGGUGUUCCGGUUGUGUCGCCAGACGCAUUGCCGGGUAGCUAAGUGCGGAAGAGAUAAGUGCUGAAAGCAUCUAAGCACGAAACUUGCCUUGAGAUGAGUUCUCCCUGUCUUUAAGACAGUAAGGGUUGUUUAAGACUAAGACGUAGAUAGGUCUGGUGUGUAAGCGGUGCGAGCCGUUGAGCUAACAGAUACUAAUUGCCCGAGAGGCUUAACUAU